This 200-nucleotide ribosomal RNA is filed under the name uncultured bacterium. RNAcentral describes it as "partial 16S ribosomal RNA". It matches the Rfam family "Bacterial small subunit ribosomal RNA", at positions 29 to 228 of the family's 1533-position model. The record is from RNAcentral.
AGUGAACGCUGGCGGCAGGCCUAACACAUGCAAGUCGAGCGGAAAGGCCCACUUGUGGGUACUCGAGCGGCGAACGGGUGAGUAACACGUGAGUAAUCUGCCCUUCACUUGGGGAUAACGUCCAGAAAUGGGUGCUAAUACCCGGUAUUCACGUAUGACCGCAUGGUUGUGGGUGGAAAGGUUUUUCUGGUGGGGGAUGU